CUGGAGCAGGUCCCAAGGGUUUGGCUGUUCGCCAAUUAAAGAGGUACGUGAGCUGGGUUUAGAACGUCGUGAGACAGUUCGGUCCCUAUCUGCCGUGGGCGCAAGAGACUUGAGAAGAGCUGCCCCUAGUACGAGAGGACCGGGGUGGACGAACCUCUGGUGGACCUGUUGUUGCGCCAGCAGCAUUGCAGGGUAGCUAUGUUCGGAAGGGAUAACCGCUGAAAGCAUCUAAGCGGGAAGCCUCCUUCAAGAUAAGGUCUCUCUAUUAGAGCCGUGGAAGACCACCACGUUGAUAGGUCAGGUGUGGAAGUGCGGUAACGCAUGGAGCUAACUGAUACUAAUUGCUCGAUCGGCUUUAGAGC
RNAcentral lists this ribosomal RNA (362 nucleotides) under Kordiimonadaceae bacterium. Its description in RNAcentral is "partial 23S ribosomal RNA". It matches the Rfam family "Bacterial large subunit ribosomal RNA", at positions 2553 to 2925 of the family's 2925-position model. The record is from RNAcentral. Lineage: Bacteria; Pseudomonadati; Pseudomonadota; Alphaproteobacteria; Kordiimonadales; Kordiimonadaceae.